RNAcentral lists this ribosomal RNA (497 nucleotides) under uncultured bacterium. RNAcentral describes it as "partial 16S ribosomal RNA". It matches the Rfam family "Bacterial small subunit ribosomal RNA", at positions 28 to 507 of the family's 1533-position model. The record is from RNAcentral.
GAUGAACGCUGGCGGCGUGCCUAAUACAUGCAAGUCGAGCGAACAGACGAGGAGCUUGCUCCUCUGACGUUAGCGGCGGACGGGCGAGUAACACGUGGAUAACCUACCUAUAAGACUGGGAUAACUUCGGGAAACCGGAGCUAAUACCGGAUAAUAUAUUGAACCGCAUGGUUCAAUAGUGAAAGACGGUUUUGCUGUCACUUAUAGAUGGAUCCGCGCCGCAUUAGCUAGUUGGUAAGGUAACGGCUUACCAAGGCAACGAUGCGUAGCCGACCUGAGAGGGUAAUCGGCCACACUGGAACUGAGACACGGUCCAGACUCCUACGGGAGGCAGCAGUAGGGAAUCUUCCGCAAUGGGCGAAAGCUUGACGGAGCAACGCCGCGUGAGUGAUGAAGGUCUUCGGAUCGUAAAACUCUGUUAUUAGGGAAGAACAAAUGUGUAAGUAACUAUGCACGUCUUGACGGUACCUAAUCAGAAAGCCACGGCUAACUACGUG